UACGGAGGGUGCAAGCAUUGAUCGGAAUUACUGGGCGUAAAGGGCGCGUAGGCGGCUCUGAAAGUCAGAUGUGAAAUUCCGGGGCUCAACCCCGGAGCUGCAUUUGAAACUUCAGAACUAGAGUACAGUUAGGGUAAACGGAAUUCCACGUGUAGCGGUGAAAUGCGUAGAUAUGUGGAAGAACACCGGUGGUGAAGACGGUUUACUGGGCUGUAACUGACGCUGAGGCGCGAAAGCUAGGGGAGCAAAC
RNAcentral lists this ribosomal RNA (250 nucleotides) under uncultured bacterium. Its description in RNAcentral is "partial 16S ribosomal RNA". It matches the Rfam family "Bacterial small subunit ribosomal RNA", at positions 524 to 773 of the family's 1533-position model. The record is from RNAcentral.